This 548-nucleotide ribosomal RNA is filed under the name uncultured fungus. RNAcentral describes it as "eukaryotic LSU rRNA". The stretch from base 79 to 232 matches the Rfam family "5.8S ribosomal RNA". Lineage: Eukaryota; Fungi. The record is from RNAcentral.
CUUGGACUCUGUCUACUUAUGCCUCGUGAUGAAAAUUUAUUUUAAAAUGAAUGUAAUGGAUGUAACACAUCUAAUACUAAGUUUCAACAACGGAUCUCUUGGCUCUCGCAUCGAUGAAGCGUCCGUGAUAGUCGCUUAAGUAAUGUGAAUUGCAGAAUUCAGUGAAUCAGGCUCGCUGAGAACGCACCUUGCGCUCCUUGGUAUUCCUUGGAGCAUGCCUGUUUGAGUAUCAUGAAAUCUUCAAAGUCAAACCUUUUGUUAACUCAAUUGGUUCUGCUUUGGUAUUGGAGGUAGCGUCCGUGAUCACACCUGCUCCUCUUUGUGCAUUAGCUGGAUCUCAGUGUUAUGCUUGGUUCCACUCAGCGUGAUAAGUUAUCUAUCGCUGAGGACACCAGUCCGUGAUAGUGUGGCCAAGGUAAAUGCAGAUGAACCGCUUAGCCUCGUGAUAUCACUUGGACAAAUAUUAAUUUUAUGAUCUGAUCUCAAAUCAGGUAGGCACUAUGCGCUCGCUCGUAGAUGCUCGUCGUAGAUGCUCGCUGAUGAUAGUC